UACAGAGGUGGCAAGCGUUGUUCGGAAUUACUGGGCGUAAAGGGCGCGUAGGUGGCCUUUUGAGUCAGACGUGAAAUCCCCCGGCUUAACCUGGGAACUGCGUCUGAUACUGGAAGGCUUGAGUUCGGGAGAGGGAUGUGGAAUUCCAGGUGUAGCGGUGAAAUGCGUAGAUAUCUGGAGGAACACCGGUGGCGAAGGCGGCAUCCUGGACCAAUACUGACACUGAGGAGCGAAAGCCAGGGGAGCAAACGGG
Molecule: ribosomal RNA, 253 nt
Filed under: uncultured bacterium
Lineage: Bacteria
Description: partial 16S ribosomal RNA
Rfam family: Bacterial small subunit ribosomal RNA
Source: RNAcentral